AAUAGAUACCCCGGUAGUCCACGCCGUAAACGAUGAGUGCUAAGUGUUAGGGGGUUUCCGCCCCUUAGUGCUGCAGCUAACGCAUUAAGCACUCCGCCUGGGGAGUACGGUCGCAAGACUGAAACUCAAAGGAAUUGACGGGGGCCCGCACAAGCGGUGGAGCAUGUGGUUUAAUUCGAAGCAACGCGAAGAACCUUACCAGGUCUUGACAUCCCACUGACCGCUAUGGAGACAUAGUUUUCCCUUCGGGGACAGUGGUGACAGGUGGUGCAUGGUUGUCGUCAGCUCGUGUCGUGAGAUGUUGGGUUAAGUCCCGCAACGAGCGCAACCCUUGAUCUUAGUUGCCAUCAUUUAGUUGGGCACUCUAAGGUGACUGCCGGUGACAAACCGGAGGAAGGUGGGGAUGACGUCAAAUCAUCAUGCCCCUUAUGACCUGGGCUACACACGUGCUACAAUGGACGGUACAAACGGUUGCCAACCCGCGAGGGGGAGCUAAUCCGAUAAAACCGUUCUCAGUUCGGAUUGUAGGCUGCAACUCGCCUAC
Molecule: ribosomal RNA, 544 nt
Filed under: uncultured bacterium
Lineage: Bacteria
Description: bacterial SSU rRNA
Rfam family: Bacterial small subunit ribosomal RNA
Source: RNAcentral